Molecule: ribosomal RNA, 253 nt
Filed under: uncultured bacterium
Lineage: Bacteria
Description: partial 16S ribosomal RNA
Rfam family: Bacterial small subunit ribosomal RNA
Source: RNAcentral
UACGGAGGGUGCGAGCGUUGUCCGGAAUCACUGGGCGUAAAGGGCGCGUAGGCGGCUCGGUAAGUCGGGGGUGAAAUCCUGCGGCUUAACCGCAGGGCUGCCUUCUAAACUGUCGAGCUCGAGCACGGUAGAGGCAGAUGGAAUUCCCGGUGUAGCGGUGGAAUGCGUAGAGAUCGGGAAGAACAUCAGUGGCGAAGGCGGUCUGCUGGGCCGUUGCUGACGCUGAGGCGCGACAGCGUGGGGAGCAAACAGG